Molecule: transfer RNA, 73 nt
Organism: Astyanax mexicanus (Mexican tetra)
Lineage: Eukaryota; Metazoa; Chordata; Actinopteri; Characiformes; Acestrorhamphidae
Rfam family: tRNA
About the family: Transfer RNA (tRNA) molecules are approximately 80 nucleotides in length.
Source: Rfam
GGCUUCAUAGCUCAGAGGUGAGAGGACUGGUCUUGUAAACCAGGGGUCAUGAGUUCAAUUCUCACUUGGGCCU